Loxodonta africana (African savanna elephant) is the source of this 703-nucleotide RNA transcript. It is a transcript of the gene named DNL-type zinc finger, with no coding region annotated. The record is from RefSeq and is a predicted model, not a curated record. The transcript is spliced from 4 exons. Lineage: Eukaryota; Metazoa; Chordata; Mammalia; Proboscidea; Elephantidae.
CGGGAUGCCGCGGGCAGCGCUGGGGCGUGCGCUGGUGCUGCUACGCCGCGCGCGGCCCCGGGACCCCGGCCUGAGGCAGCUGUGGGCGCGCGGGGCCCUCCCGGAGGCCGCGGGGAAGCGGCGGGCCUGGGUCUGGGCCUGGAGCUGGAGGAGCCUGAGCUCCGAGCCGGGGCCGGGGCCCGGGGCCGCGGUCGGGCGCGUGGAGGCGGCGCACUACCAGCUGGUCUACACCUGCAAGGUCUGCGGGACUCGGUCCUCCAAGCGCAUCUCCAAGCUGGCCUACCACCAGGGCGUGGUCAUUGUGACCUGCCCUGGCUGCCGGAACCACCACAUCAUAGCCGACAACCUGGGCUGGUUCUCGGACCUGGACGGGAACAGGACCAGGACCUGCAUCCGGGCAGUGGUGGCCUGCUCCUCCCUGUGUGCUGUUUUGCUGCAGUGACUUCUACAGCCAGUUUCUGCUGUCAGAGCUCCGUGAAUGUCUGUGCACUCAGCUAAACGGGGCCUCUUCCCCAGGAGAUUCACCUUCUCUCUCUCCCGACUCUGGGUGGUGACCAUGGCAGCAUUUCAGGGAACAUUGAAGAAAUCCUGGCGGCCCGAGGGGAGCCAGUGCGCCGGGUGGCCGGCAAUGAUGCCCUGGAAGUAGUCUUGGAGGCGGCGGCAGCCCCCCAGCCCACUGCUGCUCUGGAAGGUGGUGAGGACG